GGGGAAUUUUCCGCAAUGGGCGNAAGCCUGACGGAGCAAUACCGCGUGUAGGGNUGACGGCCUAUGGGUUGUAAACCUCUUUUUUCAGGGAGGAAACCAAUGACGUUACCUGAAGAAUAAGCAUCGGCUAACUCCGUGCCAGCAGCCGCGGUAAGACGGAGGAUGCAAGUGUUAUCCGGAAUCACUGGGCGUAAAGCGUCUGUAGGUGGUUUAAUAAGUCAACUGUUAAAUCUUGAGGCUCAACCUCAAAACCGCAGUCGAAACUAUUAGACUCGAGUAUAGUAGGGGUAAAGGGAAUUUCCAGUGGAGCGGUG
RNAcentral lists this ribosomal RNA (314 nucleotides) under uncultured cyanobacterium. RNAcentral describes it as "bacterial SSU rRNA". It matches the Rfam family "Bacterial small subunit ribosomal RNA", at positions 356 to 683 of the family's 1533-position model. Lineage: Bacteria; Bacillati; Cyanobacteriota. The record is from RNAcentral.